This 530-nucleotide ribosomal RNA is filed under the name uncultured bacterium. Its description in RNAcentral is "bacterial SSU rRNA". It matches the Rfam family "Bacterial small subunit ribosomal RNA", at positions 777 to 1305 of the family's 1533-position model. The record is from RNAcentral.
AAUAGAUACCCAGGUAGUCCAUGCCGUAAACGUUGGGAACUAGAUGUAGGGCCUGUUCCACGGGUUCUGUGUCGUAGCUAACGCAUUAAGUUCCCCGCCUGGGGAGUACGGCCGCAAGGCUAAAACUCAAAGGAAUUGACGGGGGCCCGCACAAGCGGCGGAGCAUGCGGAUUAAUUCGAUGCAACGCGAAGAACCUUACCAAGGCUUGACAUAUAGAAGGACACUGCAGAGAUGCAGGACUCUUUGGACACUUCUAUACAGGUGGUGCAUGGUUGUCGUCAGCUCGUGUCGUGAGAUGUUCGGUUAAGUCCGGCAACGAGCGCAACCCUCGUCCUAUGUUGCCAGCGGGUUAUGCCGGGAACUCAUGGGAUACUGCCGUGGUCAACACGGAGGAAGGUGGGGAUGACGUCAAAUCAUCAUGCCCCUUAUGUCUUGGGCUUCACGCAUGCUACAAUGGCCGGUACAAAGAGCGGCGAUACCGUAAGGUGGAGCGAAUCUCAAAAAGCCGGUCUCAGUUCGGAUUGGGGUC